RNAcentral lists this ribosomal RNA (407 nucleotides) under uncultured bacterium. RNAcentral's name for it is "partial 16S ribosomal RNA". It matches the Rfam family "Bacterial small subunit ribosomal RNA", at positions 30 to 526 of the family's 1533-position model. The record is from RNAcentral.
AUUGAACGCUAGCGGGAUGCCUUACACAUGCAAGUCGAACGGAGUGGCGAACGGGUGAGUAAUGUAUCGGAACGUGCCCAGUAGCGGGGGAUAACUACGCGAAAGCGUAGCUAAUACCGCAUACUAUUGGAGCGGCCGAUAUCGGUGUGGCUAGUUGGUGGGGUCACGGCCCACCAAGGCGAACAUCCGUAGCUGGUUUGGGGUGACGACCAGCCCACCUGGGAGUGAGACACGCACCAAACGCCUCGGGGAUGCAGCGGUGGUGAGUCUUGGACAAUGGGGGAGACCCUGAUCCAGCCAGCCCGCGUGUGCGAUGAAGGCCUUCGGGUUGUAAAGCGCAUUUGGCAGGAAAGCGGUACCUGCAGAAUAAGCACCGGCUAACUACGUGCCAGCAGCCGCGGUAAUUC